RNAcentral lists this long non-coding RNA (297 nucleotides) under Nicotiana benthamiana. RNAcentral describes it as "long non-coding RNA (NBEN_LNC016551)". The record is from RNAcentral. Lineage: Eukaryota; Viridiplantae; Streptophyta; Magnoliopsida; Solanales; Solanaceae.
AUUACAUAUAAAACCACAUCUAACUGCAAAAUGCAGCUUGCUUUUUAUUAGCUAUUGGAGGGAGAAAAAAAAUGAGAGGGCGAACGGUAGCCGCCUAUAAAGCUGAUACAUAUUCUCACCCAAAAUUUUGACCAUUACAGUUCUACGAGCAUUCGUUUAGGAAAAACCCUACUGCAAAUAGGAUUAUGUCAAAUCCCAAAUUUACAUAACUGGAAUCUUUUUUUCAUCUUCUAUGAAGUAUACUGCAGAUACUGGAAUCUGAGAACCGCAAAGUGAAAAAGCUUCAGCUGGCAUUUU